ACAGGUCAUGCUAUCGCCUCGUUUCCCAGCCGCCUGCUGCGAUUGAGAUUCACAUCUGCCGCCUGCCAACUGCCGCCGCCUGCUAUCGCCUAUGGGAUCUCUGCACGACUCCACAUAGCCAUCAAGAGAAGCAGAGAAGCGACGGCCGUGGGCGAGCGCCGAUCCACAGGCUAUUUGCCGGUAGCCGGUAGGCCAGGCCCGAGGAUUAGCCGCGAUAAAAUUAGGAAAAAGGGAGAAAAUACAAAGAUGAAGAACCCACUGCUUGGAUGUUUUUGAGGAGUGCCACUACAGCAACAAGAAGAAAGGGUACACAGACACCGUACAAUCUGCGCACUUUCUCUCAACCUACUAAAAAUGGAGACCCGCAUAUCUCUGUGACUGAGGUUGUAUCUAAUGUGCUCACUCAGCGUACCAAGAAGCCCAAGUUUCUUCAUAAUGUGUGGAUCCUCCAUGUGCGUGAGAGAACCAGUGGUACCAACCUUGAAGCACAACUAGCAUCGGAGAAGGGCAGUGCAGAUAUUCAGGAGGUAGUCAACACCUUGUCUAAGAAGGUAGAGGAAUCAGAAGCAAGGUUCAGAGAAGAAGAGUACAUGAAGAAGCAAGCCGAGGUGGAUUAAAACAGGGUAAGGCGGUUGUUGAGCCAGAGAUGACCUUUUCCUAAGCCAGGGCUGAUCAAGUUCAGCUACAGGGUAAGGUGGUUGUUGAAACACCGUUGUGUAAGGUAAUGGCAAUAUGUGAUCAUUUGCUGGUGACAUGCUUUUGUUGGAAGCUAUGUGGUAAUGCUUUUGUUGCUCCAAACUGCAUGCAUUCUGUUCAUGGAUAUGAAUGCAAGCAUUUUGCUGUGGGUAGUUUGUGGCACUUGAGUGACUGUAGUUUCAUAUUUAUGAAGG
Triticum aestivum (bread wheat) is the source of this 890-nucleotide long non-coding RNA. RefSeq lists it as uncharacterized. The transcript is spliced from 3 exons. Lineage: Eukaryota; Viridiplantae; Streptophyta; Magnoliopsida; Poales; Poaceae. The record is from RefSeq and is a predicted model, not a curated record.